UUCAGUCUAUGUAGAUAGAAAAUGCAUGCUUAAAUUCUAUUGUUGAUUUCAUCUUAAAUCUCAAUUUCUGGUUGAAUAAAAAGAUCAAAUUAAGUGAUAGCAUAUGAAAUAUGCUAUCUGUUUUCUCAUCACUCAAGAUAGUUUCUUGAUUUUACAUUCUUUUUUGGAUGUUUUAUAGAUGAUGAACAAUUCAUAGAUGAGAUGGGUGCUAAGGCUAUUUUGGAGCUAAUUCGGACAUUUUGGAGUCAUACAAUGUCAACCAGAGUGAAACUAAGGCAAAACGAAGCAAAAACUCGAUGUUCGAUAAUUGGAGCCUCGACGGUGCUCUAUGGUGUUCGAGACAACAUUGAAAAGUAGAGAGCUCUAUUUCACGUAAAUGGCCAAGCGCCGUGACACUCCAAACUUCGAAAGCAGAAGAUGUGCGGGCGAGCGUUAAGCACCAC
Molecule: long non-coding RNA, 443 nt
Filed under: Cucumis sativus (cucumber)
Lineage: Eukaryota; Viridiplantae; Streptophyta; Magnoliopsida; Cucurbitales; Cucurbitaceae
Description: long non-coding RNA (CSAT_LNC000984)
Source: RNAcentral